GAGGAGGGCCUUCCCUGCGGCGUGCACACCUUCUCCCAUGUUAAGCGCUAUUUAAGGACUUCCAAGUUGUCAGGAGAAUUCAUCUUGCUCACGGUUCUGCCACCAAAGUUGAUGCGGACCAGAAACUCGCUUAUUGCGCUGUCAUCUGAUUCUUGGUGGAAGUCUGGUCCAACUUGAAAGCCAUUAUACGCUCGCGAACGUGCGCCAGGGAAGGGUGAAAUGGCGAAGUCGCCGUCCGCCUCGGAGGAUCUUCUCUGGGCACAAUAUGUCUCGGUGCCGUCAGCAAGUUGACCUUUUGUGUAUCGCUGCCUGAUUUCCCAGUUUGCGCCGGCUCGGCCGGCAUGGUACUCCGCGAGUAAAGGCCAAUCGUCGCGACGCUAAGCAGGCGGCGGGUGACGGCCCGAAUCGCCGA
Molecule: long non-coding RNA, 412 nt
Organism: Hippocampus comes (tiger tail seahorse)
Lineage: Eukaryota; Metazoa; Chordata; Actinopteri; Syngnathiformes; Syngnathidae
Exons: 3
Source: RefSeq, a predicted model, not a curated record